This is a long non-coding RNA of Danio aesculapii, 1522 nucleotides long. RefSeq lists it as uncharacterized. Lineage: Eukaryota; Metazoa; Chordata; Actinopteri; Cypriniformes; Danionidae. The transcript has 3 exons. The record is from RefSeq and is a predicted model, not a curated record.
AGUCAGCAUCUCAUGAACAUGAUCCACUAAAGUUAUAAAGUUAAUGUACUCACUUGGAUCCAGGCAUAAAGACUGUCUGGCAGGAUACCAGUGUGGAUCUGCAGAAACGAAAGCCUGACAUCGGUGGCAAAGAUCACUGUGGCUGACCUCCAGAGAUGCAGUCGGGAGAUGAGAAAAAAGCCAACCAUCACUGCAGCCCUUCACCAGUCGGGGAUUUAAGGCAAAGUGCCCCGACACAUGAAAGCCCUGAUGAAGUUUGCUAAAAAAAAACACCUGAAGGAUUCCAAGAUGUACCUGCAUCACACUGCACAUCUCCAGCUCCAGCGUAACAGUCAGCAGGAGGUUUAGUCUUCUUCAGCUUCUCGGAGCUGACCGGAUCCUUCAGAAGUUCCAGACACUCUGGACACAAAAACACGUCCUGAUCCACAGAAAUUCUCACUACUGACUUUUUACUAAGUGAAUAUUAGAGAAACAUAGACCAAACAGAUCAAUUAACCCUGAGUUUUACUUUCAGAAUACAAACGCUGAAAUAGUUUCACGCUCCUGUCACAUCUGUAAAAAGCUGUGUCUGCAAAGUGUUGUGAUCAUCGGCGGUCUGGCAGUUGCAGAUCGCUGGUGAACUACACACAUGCCACAGUAACAAACUACAACUCCCAGCAUGCACCUCACACACACAAGUUCCUGUUUCCAACUGAUUACACUGACACAGCUGGCAACUCAUCACAGACUGAUUAACUGGACUUUAUAUUCACCCCUCACACAUACACCCGUUGCGGAGUGUUGUUUUCCUAGUGAAGCAUUACAAAGCGUUUUCCUGUUUGUCUUGCUGUGUUCGACAUAAAUCCUUGACAUAAUUGUUGGUCCUCGAGGGUCUUUUCAAGAAGCCCUUGAAAUAACCCUGCAGGUCAGUGGGUCUCCAUUCACCUUAGGAAAGAUAGAGGAGGAAACCCCUAAAUUUAAACCCCAGCAAGACCUGAUGGUUGCAGAGCUUUCCAUUCACAAGAUGGCUGACAACACUUCAUCACUGCCAGAGCUACCAGAAUCGACGCCGCCGCCAGAGCUGCCAAAGUUGACACCGUUGCUGCCAGAGUCACCAGAUCCUCCUGAAUUCCCCAAAUGGCAGGCGCCAGAUCUUUUUGAAUUCCCCAAAUGGCAGCACCAGAUCCUUCAGAAUUCUUUGAAUGGCGGCCACCAGAUCCUCCCGAGUCCCACGAAUGGCCAGAGCUGCCACUUGAGUCUCACAAAUGGCCAGAGCCGCCAGAGUCAUCACAGACUGAUUAACUGGACUUCAUAUUCACCCCGCACACACACACUCUUUGUGGAGCCUUGUUUUCCUAGUGAAGCAUCACAAAGCGGUUUCCUAUUUGUCUUGCCAUGUUUAAUCCUUGUCUGUUUUCCGUUUUGAUUCCAUGCCACCUAGCCUAACCAUUUGCCUAUAUUUCGACUACAUAUUUUGGAUUAUCUCUAGGCCACUGUUUGCUUCUGUACCUGACCAUUGCCUGCAUGUCUUUGCUUUAAUAAA